CGGUAACUCUCUGGCUUUCUGCUGGCUGCCAGAACUCAAAGAAAAGAACUCCACUUGUAGGUCAGGAGCUCUGAAAUUUAUUUUGGGAUAUUUUUUUUGUUGUCAUCUGAAGAGCAGCUAGUUAAAUGAUGUCUGCUUGACUGACCGCUGACUGUAGCAGUCUUCCUCCAGCAGGUGGCGCAGUUGUACUGGAAACUGAACCAACCCUAACCAAACAUCAGCUGUUCCUUCUGGAGCGUUAAAAGCAGCAACUCUACGUAAAGAUGGACCAGCCCUCUGUGGUGUCACGAAUAGGUGUUUCCCCUUUAAUUAGUGUUGACUAAACGACAGCUUCACGUCUCAACAUAGAACAGACAAGACUCAGCAGUCCACCUGCAUCUAAAGGAUAAAGGACAUUCCUUUGAGGACAGCAAUGUCUACAUUAUGGACAGAGAGGACAGAUGGUUUGAGAGGAGUGAAGGAAGCCCUCUAUGUCAAACUGGAACAGUCAUCUCUAAACAGAGGAGGGGAUUCACAUCCUUUGCUGUAUAAAACUGGAAGCUCCACCACCAUGAUCGCUGUCAUAGUCGGUGGAUCGCCUGGUUUCACAACAUCCAUACCUGGAGACCGAUGUCCUGGUUGUUAACGGGUCAUUAGCCAUGUGAGCUGGAGGAACUACAAACUCUGUAACUCACCAUUAGUCAGUUGGAACUGAAGAAGAACCUUGGAUGAAGGGGAAAUGUCUUCAAGAACUGAUAAGAGAAGUCCAGUUGAUUGUUACUGAAGCUCCUACAAUAUAUUUGUUGGUAAAUCAGAAAGAAUGAACCACAGUGAAACUAAAAGAAUAUGGAACAUUAGUCUGAUAAGGAGAAAAUUAAAACCCUGUUUGGACUUAAUCAGCUGUUAAACAUCAGCUCAUUUGAUGCAUCCAUGCCAUAAUGCCACAAUACUUUGCCUUAAUAUUUUAGAAAACCGAGCCUAUUUUUGUAAGUUUAUUGCACUUCGUCUCUGGUAGUUUCCAAACUUGAUGCACUCAUGAACUUCAUCUCAUAUGAACUUUGAAUUGUGUUUCCAAUAAUGAGGCAGAAGCUUCAUCUUUGUUUUUUUCGUUAUUUCUUCAUGUAAGAAAACACUGCUUCAUUUAAAGUGGGAUAUCUUCGGUGUCUCUAUCAGGCAGCACCCUAGUGAUUCUUCAUGCUUCUAACCACCGUCACAUGGUAGCCAUCAGCAUUUUGUCCUUCACCUUCUCCCUGAAGCAACACAGGAAGUGAGAAAAGACCUGAAUCAGAAUCAGCUGAAUACAGCGUGUAGUUUAAGCUGCAUUAGUUGAAUUAAAACAACAUCCAAGUUGUAGUACGUUAAUUAAACUGGCUUGAAAACCUAUUUUCCAUCCUGACAUCAGGAUUUGAAACCUUACAAACUUGUCUGGUUGACUUCAAACAAAUAAGAGACAGACUGAACUCUGAAUAAAGAUUCUAGUGUAAAAUCUGACAGAGCUACAGCGUUCCAAACAAGGCUGGUUUAGUAGCUGUCUGGCCAACUUAGUAACUCCACCUUCAUCAUCACUAAAUAUCAUCUUAAUGUGGAAGAAAACUACCAACCUGAUUCUGGCUGUCAGGAAAAGCAUUUCCUUUAACAUACUACACUACUGAGUUCUUCUCCGCUGAACCUGCAAAGACAUAAAACUUCAGUUUAAACUGGAACAUGGCAGUCAGUCAAACACAUCUCUGAUCUGAAUACAGCAGCUGGUAGCACACAGACAGAAAACACAAGUUAUAGAAAAUAAUAUCCAUAUAAUACAGAAAAAUAUAGAACACGAUGUUUAAACCAACAUCCAGAGGAUGAUGUCUGAUGUUCUAAAGUCUACAGAUGAAUGCAUUCAAUGAACAUAUGUGGGAUUCAAUAAAAAUUAGACCUGCCUCUUCUGUCUGUGGUUGGUGUGUUUUUCCUGAAACACUUCCAGAUUGAAAAGGCAGCGAAUGCAAGUGCAGCAGAGACUCCAAUUAUGAUCCAAACUGUCAAACAAAACACUGAAGGUCAAGAAAAACUCAACAAACAACACGUUUCAUUGUCAAAAAUCAGAGUUAGAACUGAUCUUACCAUGACUAUGGUUGUUCUCUGAGCUGCUGUUGGUGAAGUUCUCUCCACAG
Molecule: long non-coding RNA, 2129 nt
Organism: Amphiprion ocellaris (clown anemonefish)
Lineage: Eukaryota; Metazoa; Chordata; Actinopteri; Pomacentridae
Exons: 3
Source: RefSeq, a predicted model, not a curated record